ACAGCAGCCGCCACGGUAAUACGAAGGGUGCAAGCGUUACUCGGAAUUACUGGGCGUAAAGCGUGCGUAGGUGGUGGUUUAAGUCCGUUGUGAAAGCCCUGGGCUCAACCUGGGAAUUGCAGUGGAUACUGGGUCACUAGAGUGUGGUAGAGGAUAGUGGAAUUUCCGGUGUAGCAGUGAAAUGCGUAGAGAUCGGAAGGAACAUCUGUGGCGAAGGCGACUAUCUGGGCCAACACUGACACUGAGGCACGAAAGCGUGGGGAGCAAACAGGAUUAGAUACCCCGGUAGUCCCUGUCUCUUAUAC
Molecule: ribosomal RNA, 305 nt
Filed under: uncultured bacterium
Lineage: Bacteria
Description: partial 16S ribosomal RNA
Rfam family: Bacterial small subunit ribosomal RNA
Source: RNAcentral